Molecule: long non-coding RNA, 221 nt
Filed under: Gossypium raimondii (Peruvian cotton)
Lineage: Eukaryota; Viridiplantae; Streptophyta; Magnoliopsida; Malvales; Malvaceae
Description: long non-coding RNA (GRAI_LNC008975)
Source: RNAcentral
AAUCACACAAUAGAAGAUUGAUUAACCCUCAUAAAAAAAAGAAAAGAAAAGAAAUUCUCAAGAUUGGAAUAAACCUAUAUGAUACCAUGUAAACAAGCAUAGUUGUAGAGAAAAGAAUAUUGUUGUGUGUUAUUCAUCUUAGGAGUGAAGAAUUUAUACAUGUUACAGGAGAUAGAAAAAUAAAAUAAAAAAUAAAUCCCUACAAACCAGUUCUAUGAUCC